GAUGAACGCUGGCGGCGUGCCUAAUACAUGCAAGUCGAGCGAACAGACGAGGAGCUUGCUCCUCUGACGUUAGCGGCGGACGGGUGAGUAACACGUGGAUAACCUACCUAUAAGACUGGGAUAACUUCGGGAAACCUGAGCUAAUACCGGAUAAUAUAUUGAACCGCAUGGUUCAAUAGUGAAAGACGGUUUUGCUGUCACUUAUAGAUGGAUCCGCGCCGCAUUAGCUAGUUGGUAAGGUAACGGCUUACCAAGGCAACGAUGCGUAGCCGACCUGAGAGGGUGAUCGGCCACACUGGAACUGAGACACGGUCCAGACUCCUACGGGAGGCAGCAGUAGGGAAUCUUCCGCAAUGGGCGAAAGCUUGACGGAGCAACGCCGCGUGAGUGAUGAAGGUCUUCGGAUCGUAAAACUCUGUUAUUAGGGAAGAACAAAUGUGUAAGUAACUAUGCACGUCUUGACGGUACCUAAUCAGAAAGCCACGGCUAACUACGUG
RNAcentral lists this ribosomal RNA (497 nucleotides) under uncultured bacterium. RNAcentral's name for it is "partial 16S ribosomal RNA". It matches the Rfam family "Bacterial small subunit ribosomal RNA", at positions 28 to 507 of the family's 1533-position model. The record is from RNAcentral.